Long non-coding RNA from Camarhynchus parvulus, 1968 nucleotides. NCBI's taxonomy places the organism in Eukaryota, Metazoa, Chordata, Aves, Passeriformes, Thraupidae. The record is from Ensembl.
CUGCGUUCUUCAUCGACGCACGAGCCGAGUGAUCCACCGCUAAGAGUUGUCUGGCUUUCGGGCACCGCUCUCACGCCGAGCGGCCCCUCGCUUUUGGCAUCUGGCGCCGAGGACGCGCGGACGCGCGGCCCGGCUUCGACCGUACGAGCACACAACGGAGAGAAAAGAAAAGAAAAGAGCCAGCGGGAGGAACCCGCGCUCCGAAGGCCGGCCCCAGAAGGCCGGGGGGAGCCCGCGCCCCCGACCGCCUCCCCCCACCGCGAGGGGAAGACGCCGACCUCACGUGCCGUCCUUCGGAGGCGGCCCAGGCGCCCGGGCUCGGCCCGGCCUCCGCGCGGAGGGGCCGGGCGGCGCGCGCCGGAACGCGGGGGGGGGGCACGGCGGCCCGCCCGCUCUCGCUUUCACGGGACGACGCAACGGCAACGACCCCCACACGCACGCGGCCGGGGGCGCGGCCGUCGGCCCCCGCACGCGCCGGCUUCCCUCCUCGGCCCCGCCGCGGGGCUCGCGCGGAGCGCGCCGCCGCGCCGCCGGCGGCCGGCUCUCUCCCCAGCGGCCUUCCCGAUCCCCGCUCGAGACGGCACGCGACGACCGCCGGCCCGCCGGCGCGCCUCCCCGCGGGACCGCUCCCGCCAGGCGGGCGAGCGCCCCGGCGGACGCGCUCCGCCGCCGGCCCCGGAGGCGGACGCCACCGAGACCCGAGCCGGCGUCGCCAGCGCCCGAGGCCCGCCGGACGGCGGGACCCCGCCGCCGCCGGGGCCGCACUCCCGGGACCGCCGCCGCCUCGCACCGUCGUGGGCCCCUCGCCUCGGGCACGCGCCCGGCGGAAGGCGUACGGCGCUGAGCCGGGGGCAACGCCCGCUCUCCUCGCUCUCGCGCGGAGACCGGGCGGGGAAGCGCCCCCGCGGCCGCCCGCACGCCUUCCCCUUCGGCCCACACGCGGCCGCGGCGAGGGCGACGGAGGACGCGACGAGCGGGGCCCGGGCCGGGACCGCCGCCGGCGACGGCGGGCGCCUUCCGGCCGGACCGUCCCCGCAGGGAAAGUGGGGACACCCGUCGAGCGGCGCCGCCGCCGCUCGGCACGGGGGGUCGCCCGCGCUCGCGGGCCUCCGCCGACGGAGGGCCCGCCGAGCGCCCGCCCCCCGGGCGGGCGGGCGGUCGAGCCAGGGGACGGCCGGCGGACGGCGCCGCCGGUGCCUUCGAGGAGGAAAGAAAAGGCCGUCGAGGGGAGAGAGGGGCCGGCCGCGCCGGACGCGGCGCCGCGCCGCACGCGAGAGACCGCGGCGGCGGCGGCCGAGGAAGAGAGAGCGCGGCGGGCCCCGGCGGCCGCGACCCCGCGGCCGAGGAAGGAGCAGAGAGAGAGAGCGCGCGCUCUUCUCUCUGCCGGCGUCGCCCGUUACGACGAGGCGAGCGGGUCGGCCCCGCGGCCGACCGCGCGCCGCGGCCCCUCCGCCGAGGCCGGGCCACGGAGGGGGGGGGGCAGGGCGCCCCUCCCCGGCGCGGCGCGGUUACCCCCCGCGCGCGCGCGGCGGGACGACGACGACGACGACGACGACGGAGGAGCGCGGCCGGUGGCGACGGACACCACCGCAGGGGAUCGGCGGGAGUAGCUGCUCCCCACCCCUCAGUGGCGCCGCACCACCGCCCGGCAACACCUGCCGCCGCCGCCGCCGGCACCGCCGCCGCCACGGCGGGCCGCGCCGAGCCGCCCGAGUCUUUAAACCGCCGCCCCGGCUCGCCGGCCCCUUUCGGCCCCCCGCAACAGCGUUUGACGACGCCGACGGGAAAACCUGGGGGACCGCCGAGGCGCGGAGCGCUAGGUACCUGGCCCUGGGGCGAGGGAAACGACCUGCAUGGCCCCGCCGGGGUGCCUCCCCUCGCUGCCGCCCUCGGGGAGCGUCCACCGGCGGGGGCGCACCCGACGUCUGCCGCCACCACCGCGGCGUCCUUUCUCGGGGCCCGGGGUUU